AAGUCGUAACAAGGUAACCGUAGGUGAACCUGCGGUUGGAUCAUUAGUGGUUUUUACGUAGCGCUGUUGUAGUGUUUCUGGGGGGUGUUUGUGUGUGGUCUUUGCGUUUGUUGUUGGUUGUUUGUCUGUUUUUGUGCGAUGUCUUGUGCAUUGCCUUGUGCAGUGCCUUGUGCGUUGCCUUGCAGUACAAACGAUCGACGGCAACACUCGGACCAGACCCAAGACCUUUACAGACAAUAGACGUCUUUGCUUGCUUUGAUGAAACCAAAUCAAAAACAACUUUUGACAACGGAUCUCUUGGCUCUC
RNAcentral lists this unclassified non-coding RNA (306 nucleotides) under fungal sp. RNAcentral describes it as "partial internal transcribed spacer region". The stretch from base 1 to 46 matches the Rfam family "Eukaryotic small subunit ribosomal RNA", at positions 1786 to 1831 of the family's 1831-position model. Lineage: Eukaryota; Fungi. The record is from RNAcentral.